GUAUCACUGUGGUACACGUUUGGUGGAGGAACCACACUGAAUGUUAACUUGGAAAAUGCUCGUCCCACCCUGACAGUGCUGCCCCCCUCCAGUGAGGAGCUGCAGCAGGGGAAGGCCACCCUCAUGUGUCUGGCCAACAAGGGCUUCCCCUCAGACUGGAGUCUGUCCUGGAAGGUGGAGGGCAGCAUUAGCAGCUUCAGCUGGGAGGAGAACAAGAGCCGAGGAGUGCUGCAGAAGGACGGCCUCUACAGCUGGAGCAGCACCCUGAGGCUCCCUGCAGACCAGUGGAGGAAGGUGGGCUCUGUGACCUGUGAGGCCACCCAGGGCUCCCAGUCUGCAGUCACAGAGACACUGAGGAGAGACCAGUGUUCCCAGUAACAACCUGACUUGUU
Molecule: non-coding RNA, 392 nt
Organism: Cyprinodon variegatus (sheepshead minnow)
Lineage: Eukaryota; Metazoa; Chordata; Actinopteri; Cyprinodontiformes; Cyprinodontidae
Source: the annotation of a RefSeq genome assembly